UCUUAUCUCUUCAAUUUUAUUUACUUUUCCAAGACGCUUGAGAUUACUUUAGGGCUGCUGAAAUAACUUUGAUGUCUGCCCUUCUCUAUACUCUCAUCCCUUCAUUUCUCGCUUUCUUCCUUCAAUCUGGUUCUUUUGCCCUCUCAAUUUCUGCUUGGAUUUCUGCCGCUUCAGGGACUCGUCCGACCAGGUAGGCUCCUCUACUACUCUUCAGCGCUUCAUUUGCUAAUAUAUGCGCAAGGUUGUUUGCUAAUCUUGGGAUAUGCUCAAACCUACACUCCUUGAAUUUAAUCAGAAGUUGAUGAAUAUCAUGUAAAUACGCACUAAUCAAUGAUUUAUCGGGGCUUUUUGUUUUACAUUUUCUUAUUAUUGAUAAAGAAUCCCCUUCAAUAAUAACUCUUUCCCACUGCAUGUUAACGCCGAUCUGGAGGGCUUUCCGACACGCUAUUACUUCCGCCCCAAAGGCUGAGGGAACUCUUUGAUGAACCUCCGUACAUGAUAGAAGAACUGAACCCUCCUUAUCGCGGGCCACAACCCCAAUAGCCGCUUUACUUUGUCUACCGUCGUACGCUGCAUCGAAAUUGAUUUUGACUACCUUGUCCACUGGCUUUGUCCAUAUUUUUACAGGUAUGGAAGAUUGCAACCUAUUUUUACCAACUGCAUCAAGAUCUGAAAUAUAGCUAUGAACAAAUCUCCCUACUUCUUUUCCAGAUUUACCAUCUUUUUUAUGCAAUCUAUUGUUUCUGUCUCCCCAGAUGGCCCAUACUGCAACACAAAAGAUUCGAUGCUGAGAAGUCGAGCUUCGUGAGAAAACCCAGGUUAGCCACUGUAGAAACCCCAUUUGAUUGUCUUGCAAAAACCUAUGAAAAGAUAACUCUCUCCAUACUGUUAUUGUAGCAGGACAUUCCCGGAAAAGAUGGUCCAUAGUUUCAGUUCCUAAACUACAGCGAGGACAUACUGCCGUGUUCGUCAGUCUUCUAAGUAGCAUAUUAGCUCGCGUAGCUAGAAAAUUCCAAGAUAUCUUCCAAACUGUAAUUUUAAUUUUUGAAGGAAGAUCAAGUAGCCAUAGUUUUCUGUAGAAGUCCUUGUAGUCAUUUUGUAAAGCAUAAGCUUCAGGGUUAUUUUCAAUGCUUUGUAAUAGUUUAUAGGCGCUCCGUGUUGUGAACUCACCCGUCGCUUCAACGCUCCAAACUUGGAAAUCUUCGUGCGGUGUUUCAGCUAGUGGGAUACUGAGGAUCUUCUCUGCUACAUCCUCCGGAAAGGUAUGCUCUACCAACUCUUGUUUCCAUGUUCUGCUACUUGAAUCAAUUAGCUCUGCAACUUUACUAUCAUUCAAAUUUGAACUUAAAACUGGUAAUCUAUCACGCGGUAAAACUGGAAUCCAAUAAUCACGACUGAUUGAAAUUUUUGUACCUCGACCCACCUUCCAACAUAAGCCCUCUGCUAGAAUGCCCUUAGCAGCCCAAAUACUUUUCCAUGUAUACGAUAUAUUAUUCCCCAACUGUGAGUUUNNNNNNNNNNNNNNNNNNNNNNNNNNNNNNNNNNNNNNNNNNNNNNNNNNNNNNNNNNNNNNNNNNNNNNNNNNNNNNNNNNNNNNNNNNNNNNNNNNNNAAAUCAGCACUUGGAAAAUAUUUCGCUUUUAAUACUUGCGCUACUAAAGAAUUUGGAUUGUUUAUAAUACACCAUCCUUGCUUAGCUAAAAGUGAAACAUUAAAUUGAGCCAUAUUUCUAAAGCCCAAUCCACCCUCUUGUUUAGGGCGGCAUAAGUACUUCCACUGACACCAAUGAAUACCUCUCCUACCAUGCGUUUUUUGCCACCAAAAUUUAGCAAAAAUAUUUUCAAAUUCUCCACAAAGAGUCUUUGGUAAUAAGAAGCAUGACAUAGCGUACGUUGGAAUGGCCUGUAACACCGAUUUAAUGAAGACUUCUUUACCUCCUUGAGAUAACAUUCUAGUACUCCACCCAUCAAUCCUAGUAGCAAUCUUUUCUUUUAAAUGCUGAAAGGAUUCUUUCUUUCGUCGACCAACCAUGUUUGGAAGCCCUAGAUAUCGUUCUAAGUUUGUUGAGAUCCUAACCCCCAAUUUUGUCGAAACUUCAUUUAUUUUUCCUUCUGACGUAUUGGUGCUGAAAAAUAUGGUAGACUUAUUGAAAUUAACGCACUGUCCAGAACACUUUUCAUAUUCCUUCAAAAUUUCCUUUAGUAUACUGGCACCCCUAUCAGAUGCUUCCCCAAACAACAUACAAUCAUCUGCAAAGAGUAGAUGUGAAAUUUCUGGUCCUCUUCUGCUUGCUUUUGCACCCUUUAUCAGUCCCUUUUCUGAAGCCAAUCUCAUUAAAGAUGAUAACCCCUCACUACAAAUCAGAAAAAGAAAGGGGCUCAGCGGAUCUCCUUGACGUAAGCCUCGAGAUGGUGAAAAAACUCUUCCACUUCUACCAUUUGUAUUAACUGCAUAGGAUGUUGUGGAAACACAAGUCAUAAUCAGCUUAACCCACUCUGAUGUGAAGCCCAUUCGUAACAUCACUUCCUUCAAGAAUCCCCACUCAACCCUAUCAUAGGCUUUGCUCAUGUCAAGUUUAACUGCCAUGUAUCCUUUUUUUCCUGUGCGCUUUUGCCGAAAAGUAUGUAAGAUCUCAUAAGCUAGUAUCACAUUAUCUGUUAUUAGCCUUCCCGGGACGAACGCACUUUGAGCAGCAUCAAUGCAUCUUCCAAUAACUGCUUGUAGUCGAUUUGCAAUUGUUUUUGCCACCAUUUUGUAGAUUACUGAACAUAAACUGAUAGGUCUGAAAUUAACUAUGCUAGUGGGAUUUGGAAUUUUUGGAAUCAGCACAAUGUCGGUGUGAUUUAAAUUACCAAAACUUGCACCGUUAUUUAAAAUUUCCAAGCAAAGAUUGGUUAUUUCCUUACCUACGAUAUGCCAGAAUUUCUGAAAGAAAAUGGCUGGAAAACCAUCAUAUCCUGGAGCUUUUGUUGGUCCCAUUUCCUUUAAUGCCGCAUACAAUUCUUCUGCUGUAAAGGUUAACAUUAGCUCUCUAUUGAUAUCAGAUGAAAUAUUUUCCUUUAUUCCCGAUAGGAGAUAUGAACAUUCCGCCCUUCCUUUUGUCGUAAAAAGUUCCUGAAAAUAGGAGGUGGCCACAUCAUUAAUCUCACUCUCCUCAGUUGCUUCUCUGCCCACAGAUUUCUCCAAUUUGGAUAUUGAAUUUAUAUGUCUUCUAGAAGUAGCAAACCUGUGAAAAAAAGCUGUAUUUUUAUCACCCACUUUCAGCCAAUUUGCCCUUGCUCUUUGUUCCCAAUAUAUUUCAUCCUUAUCAAUUUCCAUAUUUAGGUGGAUCUUAGUGUCUAUAAUGCCUGCCAUUGUGUUGUCAUUCCUUUCUUUCCCCAUUAACACUUCCAGCUGCUUUGUUAACUUUUUCUUUAGCCCCUCCUGACCUUUCUUAAUCCUUCUCGCCCAGUCCAAUAAAUCUGCUUGCAACUUUCCAAGUUUCUCAGCUACUGGGCCUAUUCCUGACUCCCAAGAUUCUUUAAUUAUUUUUGCACAAGUCUCCUCCAUCAACCACCACGCUUCAAAUUUAAAUUUUAAAUUGCCAUUAUGAAUACUUUCGCCAUCUGUGUUAAUUAGAAGUGGACAGUGGUCUGACAUUGUGUGGGGUAGAUGGUUAACUCUACCUGCUGGGAAUAGGAGCCUCCAUUUAUCAUUUACCACCCCCUAUCAAGUCUUUCUCUAAUAUUUGUCUCUGGUAAAUUUCCCUUUUCCCAUGUAAACCAUACUCCCGAAAAACCCAAAUCUUCUAAAUGGCAAUUCUCUAAGACCUCUCGAAAUGCCUUCAUUCUGUUCUCUUCCCUUGGGGCACCCCCACAUUUCUCUAAAGAAUACAUGAUCUCAUUAAAGUCACCACUUACUAACCAUGGAUGGCUCUUAUCUUGCCCCAACUUUAUCAGCAAAUCCCACGAAUCACUCUUAUUGUGGACAUAUAGAGAGCCAUAGAAACCUGUAAAUCUCCACUUUUUGUUACCCUGUUCCUCUUCAACCAGAACAUCAAUAUGAUUCCUAGAAAAACUUCGUAAACUUACUUUGGUGUCUCAUUUCCAUGCUAAGCAUAAUCCUCCUUUCGAACCUUGUGCUUCUAUAUCAAUACCAUUCAUAAAACCGCAUCUCCGUCUGAUUUUUUCCAUCCUCUGUCUAUCAACUUUGGUCUCCAUUAAGAAGACCAUUUGGGGAUUGUGCUGCUUGAGGAAGUAACGCAGUCUUCUUCCAGCUCGUGGACUCCCCAAUCCACGAACAUUCCAGCUGAUGGUUUUCGUUGCGUCCGGUCGGCUUGCCUAUUGGCAGCCGCCGAUAUCAAUAAAUCUUGAACUUCAAUUUGCUCAUUAGUGUCUGUCACCAUUUCUACAGGGCCUUUGUAGUAGUCUGAAGUAUCCUGUUUCAACCUUUUAAUUUCUUCUCUGUCUCCUUUUCCUGUAUGAUCGCUGGUAAAAUCUACAUCAGUGGGCUUCCUCUUCCUCGUAUUAUUUCCAGCUUUUGUCGUUGUUGUGCCAUAUUGAAUGCUUAUCCAUUUUUCUUGUUUCUCUUGAUUUGGAUUUUGGCUCUUCUCUCUAUUACAAUUACUCACCUUCUCACUUGCAUAUUCUUUUAGCAUCUUCCCUCUUUCCUUUAAAUUCACCUUCUCAGCUUCCUCUACCUCCAAAAUACCUUCCUGUUCUGGCAUUUCCUCCCCUUCUUUUAAUUCCAAAUUCUCCUGCGGGCCCCCCUCUUCAUUGCUUCCUUUCUCAGCACAUUUAAUACUAUUGUGUGAAAUUCUCUCUUCUCCGAUAUAAGAACUCUGAACCCCAGUCUGUUUCUUCAAACUAUUAAACUUCACACUUUCUUUUCCAAUUAAUCUUGAUUCUGCUUUUAAGGCCACAGAAUAAGGGGGAUUUUCACUGAUUUUAUUUUUCCUUGCAGGUAAUAGCUGGGUGCAAUUACUCAUCCCAUGCCCCAUUCUUCCGCAUUCAAAACAGAAUAUUGGCAAAUUUUCAUACUUGAAGGGUAUCCAAACUUUACUAACAUAAACAUUAGAAACAAAAAUACCUCUUCUAAGUGGUCUUUGAACAUCCAAAUUAACUCCGAGUCGGCAGAAAUCUUCACUAAUUUCAGAUCUGAGGACCCCACCAAACGUAGAACCAAUGGCAUGCA
RNAcentral lists this long non-coding RNA (5171 nucleotides) under Gossypium raimondii (Peruvian cotton). RNAcentral describes it as "long non-coding RNA (GRAI_LNC007421)". The record is from RNAcentral. Lineage: Eukaryota; Viridiplantae; Streptophyta; Magnoliopsida; Malvales; Malvaceae.